GAUGAACGCUGGCGGCGUGCCUAAUACAUGCAAGUCGAGCGAACAGACGAGGAGCUUGCUCCUCUGACGUUAGCGGCGGACGGGUGAGUAACACGUGGAUAACCUACCUAUAAGACUGGGAUAACUUCGGGAAACCGGAGCAAAUACCGGAUAAUAUAUUGAACCGCAUGGUUCAAUAGUGAAAGACGGUUUUGCUGUCACUUAUAGAUGGAUCCGCGCCGCAUUAGCUAGUUGGUAAGGUAACGGCUUACCAAGGCGACGAUGCGUAGCCGACCUGAGAGGGUGAUCGGCCACACUGGAACUGAGACACGGUCCAGACUCCUACGGGAGGCAGCAGUAGGGAAUCUUCCGCAAUGGGCGAAAGCUUGACGGAGCAACGCCGCGUGAGUGAUGAAGGUCUUCGGAUCGUAAAACUCUGUUAUUAGGGAAGAACAAAUGUGUAAGUAACUAUGCACGUCUUGACGGUACCUAAUCAGAAAGCCACGGCUAACUACGUG
This 497-nucleotide ribosomal RNA is filed under the name uncultured bacterium. Its description in RNAcentral is "partial 16S ribosomal RNA". It matches the Rfam family "Bacterial small subunit ribosomal RNA", at positions 28 to 507 of the family's 1533-position model. The record is from RNAcentral.